UCCUUAGCCCUCCGUGUUUUGUGCGA
This 26-nucleotide non-coding RNA is filed under the name Homo sapiens (human). The record is from RNAcentral. Lineage: Eukaryota; Metazoa; Chordata; Mammalia; Primates; Hominidae.